UAGGGAAGAGUGCAGUGGCGAGUGU
This 25-nucleotide non-coding RNA is filed under the name Mus musculus (house mouse). Lineage: Eukaryota; Metazoa; Chordata; Mammalia; Rodentia; Muridae. The record is from RNAcentral.